This 273-nucleotide unclassified non-coding RNA is filed under the name Ascomycota sp. RNAcentral describes it as "partial contains small subunit ribosomal RNA, internal transcribed spacer 1, and 5.8S ribosomal RNA". The stretch from base 1 to 47 matches the Rfam family "Eukaryotic small subunit ribosomal RNA", at positions 1785 to 1831 of the family's 1831-position model. Lineage: Eukaryota; Fungi; Ascomycota. The record is from RNAcentral.
AAAGUCGUAACAAGGUUUCCGUAGGUGAACCUGCGGAAGGAUCAUUAAAAGUUUUAGUUAUACUCACGUAUAUACUUUAAUAAACCCAUUCCGAGUACCUUACCCGUUGCUUCCGUGGAGCAGGACCUCGGUCCGCUCUGACUAUGCCCUUGCGGCGUACGAUGAGUAGUCUUCACGGGAGGUAUACAUUAAACUCUUGCAUUUCCAUGUCAUCUGUCUGAAUACUGUUUAUAACAAAUGUUAAAACUUUCAACAACGGAUCUCUUGGUUCUC